This 303-nucleotide ribosomal RNA is filed under the name uncultured bacterium. RNAcentral describes it as "partial 16S ribosomal RNA". It matches the Rfam family "Bacterial small subunit ribosomal RNA", at positions 507 to 809 of the family's 1533-position model. The record is from RNAcentral.
AGCAGUAGCCGCGGGAAUACGGAGGGGGCUAGCGUUGUUCGGAAUUACUGGGCGUAAAGCGUACGUAGGCGGCUUUGCAAGUCAGAGGUGAAAGCCCGGGGCUCAACCCCGGAUGUGCCUUUGAGACUGUGAGGCUUGAACGUCGGAGAGGUGAGUGGAAUUCCGAGUGUAGAGGUGAAAUUCGUAGAUAUUCGGAAGAACACCAGUGGCGAAGGCGGCUCACUGGACGACUGUUGACGCUGAGGUACGAAAGCGUGGGGAGCAAACAGGAUUAGAUACCCCGGUAGUCCCUGUCUCUUAUAA